Molecule: long non-coding RNA, 431 nt
Organism: Pan troglodytes (chimpanzee)
Lineage: Eukaryota; Metazoa; Chordata; Mammalia; Primates; Hominidae
Exons: 3
Source: RefSeq, a predicted model, not a curated record
GCCAUUUUCCUGCCUCAGUCUCCGGAGUAGCUGGGACUACAGGCGCCCGCCACCACGCCUGGCUAAUUUUUUUGUUUUUUUAGUAGAAACGGGGUUUCACCGUGUUAGCCAGAAUGGUCUCAAUCUCCUGACCUCGUGAUCCACCUCAGCUUCCGAAAGUGCUGGGAUUACAGGCGUGAGCCACCGAAACCGGACAAUGCCUCCUUCUUAAUUUCCAGUAUUGUUGGCUAAUAUCAGGGACAUAGAUGAAGCUGGGAGCCAUCAUACUCAGCAAACUAACACAGGAAUAGAAAACCAAACACCGCAUGUUCUCACUCAUAAGUGGGAGUUGAACAAUGAGAACACAUGGACACAGAUUUGCUGUCUGGAGAGAUAUAUGAAAUUUAAAGAUGGCAAUCCAUUCCCUUUCCAUCAUGCUUCUUUUUCUACAG